AGACCCGAAACCCGGUGAUCUAGCCAUGGGCAGGUUGAAGGUUGGGUAACACUAACUGGAGGACCGAACCGACUAAUGUUGAAAAAUUAGCGGAUGACCUGUGGCUGGGGGUGAAAGGCCAAUCAAACCGGGAGAUAGCUGGUUCUCCCCGAAAGCUAUUUAGGUAGCGCCUCGUGAAUUCAUCUCCGGGGGUAGAGCACUGUUUCGGCUAGGGGGCCAUCCCGGCUUACCAACCCGAUGCAAACUGCGAAUACCGGAGAAUGUUAUCACGGGAGACACACGGCGGGUGCUAACGUCCGUCGUGAAGAGGGAAACAACCCAGACCGCCAGCUAAGGUCCCAAAGUCAUGGUUAAGUGGGAAACGAUGUGGGAAGGCCCAGACAGCCAGGAUGUUGGCUUAGAAGCAGCCAUCAUUUAAAGAAAGCGUAAUAGCUCACUGGUCGAGUCGGCCUGCGCGGAAGAUGUAACGGGGCUAAACCAUGCACCGAAGCUGCGGCAGCGAACGUAUCACCCAAGACAACUUUACGGAGUUGACGAUUGACGGAGCGAAGCGACGUCAAAGCGUUCAUUAAAGUCGAGUUGGCUUAGGGAUACGUUCGUUGGGUAGGGGAGCGUUCUGUAAGCCUGUGAAGGUGUGUCGUGAGGCAUGCUGGAGGUAUCAGAAGUGCGAAUGCUGACAUAAGUAACGAUAAAGCGGGUGAAAAGCCCGCUCGCCGGAAGACCAAGGGUUCCUGUCCAACGUUAAUCGGGGCAGGGUGAGUCGACCCCUAAGGCGAGGCCGAAAGGCGUAGUCGAUGGGAAACGGGUUAAUAUUCCCGUACUUGGUGUUACUGCGAAGGGGGGACGGAGAAGGCUAUGUUGGCCGGGCGACGGUUGUCCCGGUUUAAGCGUGUAGGUGUGUGUUCCAGGUAAAUCCGGUUCACUUUAACACUGAGGCGUGACGACGAGGCACUACGGUGCUGAAGCAACAAAUGCCCUGCUUCCAGGAAAAGCCUCUAAGCAUCAGGUAACACGAAAUCGUACCCCAAACCGACACAGGUGGUCAGGUAGAGAAUACCAAGGCGCUUGAGAGAACUCGGGUGAAGGAACUAGGCAAAAUGGUGCCGUAACUUCGGGAGAAGGCACGCUGACACGUAGGUGAAGUGAUUUACUCAUGGAGCUGAAGUCAGUCGAAGAUACCAGCUGGCUGCAACUGUUUAUUAAAAACACAGCACUGUGCAAACACGAAAGUGGACGUAUACGGUGUGACGCCUGCCCGGUGCCGGAAGGUUAAUUGAUGGGGUCAGCGCAAGCGAAGCUCCUGAUCGAAGCCCCGGUAAACGGCGGCCGUAACUAUAACGGUCCUAAGGUAGCGAAAUUCCUUGUCGGGUAAGUUCCGACCUGCACGAAUGGCGUAAUGAUGGCCAGGCUGUCUCCACCCGAGACUCAGUGAAAUUGAACUCGCUGUGAAGAUGCAGUGUACCCGCGGCAAGACGGAAAGACCCCGUGAACCUUUACUAUAGCUUGACACUGAACAUUGAGCCUUGAUGUGUAGGAUAGGUGGGAGGCUUUGAAGUGUGGACGCCAGUCUGCAUGGAGCCGACCUUGAAAUACCACCCUUUAAUGUUUGAUGUUCUAACGUGGACCCGUAAUCCGGGUUGCGGACAGUGUCUGGUGGGUAGUUUGACUGGGGCGGUCUCCUCCUAAAGAGUAACGGAGGAGCACGAAGGUUGGCUAAUCCUGGUCGGACAUCAGGAGGUUAGUGCAAUGGCAUAAGCCAGCUUGACUGCGAGCGUGACGGCGCGAGCAGGUGCGAAAGCAGGUCAUAGUGAUCCGGUGGUUCUGAAUGGAAGGGCCAUCGCUCAACGGAUAAAAGGUACUCCGGGGAUAACAGGCUGAUACCGCCCAAGAGUUCAUAUCGACGGCGGUGUUUGGCACCUCGAUGUCGGCUCAUCACAUCCUGGGGCUGAAGUAGGUCCCAAGGGUAUGGCUGUUCGCCAUUUAAAGUGGUACGCGAGCUGGGUUUAGAACGUCGUGAGACAGUUCGGUCCCUAUCUGCCGUGGGCGCUGGAGAACUGAGGGGGGCUGCUCCUAGUACGAGAGGACCGGAGUGGACGCAUCACUGGUGUUCGGGUUGUCAUGCCAAUGGCACUGCCCGGUAGCUAAAUGCGGAAGAGAUAAGUGCUGAAAGCAUCUAAGCACGAAACUUGCCCCGAGAUGAGUUCUCCCUGAGACUUAGAGUCUCCUGAAGGAACGUUGAAGACG
RNAcentral lists this ribosomal RNA (2244 nucleotides) under Salmonella enterica subsp. enterica. RNAcentral's name for it is "partial 23S ribosomal RNA". It matches the Rfam family "Bacterial large subunit ribosomal RNA", at positions 711 to 2846 of the family's 2925-position model. RNAcentral also lists the same sequence under 1 other name. The record is from RNAcentral. Lineage: Bacteria; Pseudomonadati; Pseudomonadota; Gammaproteobacteria; Enterobacterales; Enterobacteriaceae.